Molecule: non-coding RNA, 148 nt
Filed under: Nomascus leucogenys (northern white-cheeked gibbon)
Lineage: Eukaryota; Metazoa; Chordata; Mammalia; Primates; Hylobatidae
Source: Rfam by way of RNAcentral
GCCGGGUGUGGUGGUGCACACUUGUAGUCCCAGCUACUUGGGAGGUUGAGGCAGGAGAAUCGCUUGAACCUUGGAGGUGGAGGUUGCAGUGAGCCAAGAACAUGCCACUGCACUCCAGCCUAGGUGACAGAGUGAGAUCCUGCCUCAA